RNAcentral lists this ribosomal RNA (253 nucleotides) under uncultured bacterium. RNAcentral's name for it is "partial 16S ribosomal RNA". It matches the Rfam family "Bacterial small subunit ribosomal RNA", at positions 524 to 776 of the family's 1533-position model. The record is from RNAcentral.
UACAGAGGUCUCAAGCGUUGUUCGGAUUCAUUGGGCGUAAAGGGUGCGUAGGUGGCGGGGUAAGUCAGGUGUGAAAUCUCGAGGCUCAACCUCGAAACUGCACUUGAUACUGCCUUGCUCGAGUACUGGAGAGGAGAUUGGAAUUUACGGUGUAGCAGUGAAAUGCGUAGAUAUCGUAAGGAAGACCAGUGGCGAAGGCGAAUCUCUGGACAGUUACUGACACUGAGGCGCGAAAGCCAGGGGAGCGAACGGG